Molecule: long non-coding RNA, 774 nt
Filed under: Callithrix jacchus (white-tufted-ear marmoset)
Lineage: Eukaryota; Metazoa; Chordata; Mammalia; Primates; Cebidae
Description: lncRNA (ENSCJAG00000079807.1)
Source: RNAcentral
AUCCCUUGCCCCUGUCACUGGGUUGACAACUGGAAAGAGAGGAAGAGCGAGAGGAUGUUCAAGGUAUUUAUUCUCCAAGCUCUGGUUUCUCCUUGGCCUGGCUUCAUUUCUCAACAAAAGGUCAAGUCUCCUCUCCAGGUGGCUGUCUCCAUAUGACUGCCUUUAAGAAUUGUUAUAAUUGCUGUAUCCACUCACCCUUCAGGGGUGCAAACAGUCCUGGAGUUCACCCUGCCACAUCUUUGCAAAUAUUAAACUGUCUUGAGUUAUCCUAAUUUGAAAGUGCCAUCUGUUUCCUGCUGACAUCCUGACUAACAUGCACAUGAUCAGAUCUCAAAAAUGAGUAGCACCAUGUUGCUCCUGAUGAUUGAAUAGCUUGGUUUGAAUAGUUCAGAAAUGAAUUGAAAGAGGUUCCUUCUGUGGACAAGUCACAGCCAGUGUGGCAAAGCUCUGCUGCAGUGGAUUGAUCUUCCAGUUUGAUUCUAUUACCAUGGUUUCUAAAAGAAGCCGGUCAGCCUCCAUUUGAGAUCAUCAUUGCAGCUAAAAGAGGCACGGUUUUGCUCUGUUGCUCAGGCUGGAGUGCACUGGUGCUGUAACAGCUCGCGGUAGCCUUAAACGCAAGGGCUCAUGCACCCAUCUCAGCCUCUCAAACAGGUGGAACUACAGAGAAUUAAUCAGAAUUUGCUGUUGGCAGUAGGGAGAACACAACAACAGAAAAUAUGUAUUCUUGAAAAAAUACUUAAAACCCUGGAUCCUGUGCCACCCUGGUCCAUGUGA